UGAACUGCAGCAGUUUCUGGGAACAGGACAAAUAUUAGGUCACAGGACAAGUAAAACAUUUGAAGAAUUUUUAAAAGCCAAUCGAUACAUACUUAAGAGAGUGCAGGCUGCCUGAGAUAAGGUCACUGCAAAAAAAAAAACUGUUCCAUUAAAAACAUAUGUUUACUAAAAGGAGUGUCCUUAAUGGGGCUUGGGAGAAGUCAGAGAGCACCGAUUAGUGGGAUGGUGCAGAUAAGCAUUGCAGUUGGAGGCCGAGGUCUGAGGGCAUCAGUUGCCAGCUCUACCAAAAACCAAACAAGAAGCCAAACAACAAGCCCAACAAACUGGCUUCUGAGCAGGUGCGAAUCCUUCCCAUGCCGACCGCUGCCAACUGUCUGCAAUGCCAAGGUGGAGCUGUGCCCCUUAACAGUUUAUUUCCCCUUCACCUUCUGCUUUGCAGUAAGUAGGUUACGCCACAGCUCCUCUCAUAGCUGACGAAGACCCUGGCAGACCCAGGCUUAUCCCCGCCCCCACCCAGUGUUAGAAGACCACCCCAGCCCCGAACCCCUCCCAGCGUUCUCGGUAACCUGGAUCCAUGGGUUCAGCUGUGCCAGGGUAAUUCUGGGAUGCCCCAAGGCCCUCCCUGCUGCUCCCACCCACAGACAGUUGUCCUACGUGCUUCUACACAAUUAGUCGGCGCAAUGGGGUCCUCACACAAGGAGGAGGGGCUGCCCCCGGAUCCCAUUAUUAUCAUUAUCACUGUCAUUAGAGCAGCACUGGACCAUAAAGAAGUGUCACCGCACAGACUCAAGCCUGGGAGCUGCACAAGGCUGAAGAGGAGGAGGAAUCACAAUGGCUGACUUAGAACCAUCAUCUGUCUCUUAGACAUUGGCGUAGCCUUUGAAGGAGGACAUCUCCAAGCUGGCUGUGCGGUCCGCUGCCCAGUGAGUCCCUCGGACACCCUUCUGGCCUUGUUUAAGAUUGUGCCCUCCCCUGCCUGCACCAGCACUCCCAUCCCCUUUCUUGGUUUUGUUAUUCUUUUUCGUAGCUCUGAUCACUAAUUGAACAUACCAUUUCAUUUUCAAUUUUUUAUACUAUCCGUGUUUCUCCAUGUAGGGGUUGAACAGAGUUCCCCAAAUUAACCUCACCCCCAAUCUCUGAAUGUCUUCUUAGUUAGAAAUAGAGUCUUGGCAAACACAGCUGGUUCUAGAUCUCAAGAUGAAACCAUCCUAGACUUAAAAGUCAGCGAUGACUGGUGUCUGUCUAGGAGAAAGGAAAGAGGGACAGGAAGACAGAAGGAGAGAGAGAAACAGAGAGACCGCAUGAUCCACACACAUGCAGGGAAGGAGGUCAUGUGAGACUGAGGCAGAGAUGGAGUAAUUCUGCCACAAGCCAAGAAACACCAGGAGCCAGCAGAAGCUGGGACAAGUGAGGACGGGGUCAUUCCCCAGAGGCGUCAAAAGGAAGACUCUGCUGACUUGUGGCCUCCAGCCCCAUGCAAGACAAAUCUGUGUCGUUUCAAGCCACCGGUUUUGUGACAAUUUGUUAGGGCAGUCUCAGGAAACUAAAACACCCAGUCACCACAGGAGAAGACCUCAAAACAGCCACAGGAGCUGCUUGAAAAUCUUCCAGCUGUCACCGUAGAAGAAGCAUGUAGAAGAGAAUGUGGGGCAAAUAUUAAACUUUCGAAAUUAAAUGGGAGGGGCAUCCAGGUUCCUCAUAGCUAGCACGCCUGGGCUCUAUCGACGGAGGGCAGAACACAGUAGGAUGGGACUCUAACAGGUGAGGCCUAUUUUGCAUGGCCCAUUUCCUGGAGAGGACCCAGCCCUGAGUCCAGCAUGUGACUGAGACCAAAGCAAGCAGAGUUCCACAACUGGAAAGGUGGAGAAGCAUGCGACAUUUGGAAAAAUGGCCACGAAGUAGAUGACUCGGGAAGAGAGAUGGCAAGGUCCAUGUAGACAAGAAAGAACUGCAUCUCUAGCCCUGAGCACUGGGUGAGCACAUCACAGGUACCUGAUAAACACUGUGAUUGGAUGUAUGAAUGAAUGAAUAUUGGCCACCAACAGGCCCGCCUUCCUACUUAGCACAUGAUUCUCUUGAAGCCAAGAAUGGCAUCUGAUUUCUCUCGGCACCUAAGCUAUCUCAAUUCCCACAUGGGACUCUUGGUAUGUAUUCAACAAAUAUUUGUUGAAAUUAAAUAAGUUGAAUUUUGUGGGCUGGCAUGGGGCUCAAUCUUUAAUUUAUGACAUUGUUUCUACGGGAAAAUGCAUUCCAUGUGCCAAAUAAACUUGCAAAUGAACUUUUGGAACCUCAGCCGUUCAUUGGUUUGGGAUUGCCAGUUUUGUGGAAAUCCAUAACUGAACACAUGUGCUACGCUUUGCAAUAUGGGAGAAACUGAGAAACUGCUUCCAAACCCAAGAUAUUCAGCCUGCAAAAAUUCACUUUCCGCCCACACACAUGAAUUCAGCACAGGUUGGAUUUGAGGUUCCCACAAUAAAAUACUAGACUUUUUAGA
This is a long non-coding RNA of Cavia porcellus (domestic guinea pig), 2494 nucleotides long. RefSeq lists it as uncharacterized. The record is from RefSeq and is a predicted model, not a curated record. The transcript is spliced from 2 exons. NCBI's taxonomy places the organism in Eukaryota, Metazoa, Chordata, Mammalia, Rodentia, Caviidae.